Molecule: ribosomal RNA, 455 nt
Filed under: uncultured organism
Description: partial 16S ribosomal RNA
Rfam family: Bacterial small subunit ribosomal RNA
Source: RNAcentral
CGUACACUCCUGCGGGAGGCAGCAGUGGGGAAUAUUGGACAAUGGGCGCAAGCCUGAUCCAGCCAUGCCGCGUGAGUGAUGAAGGCCCUAGGGUUGUAAAGCUCUUUCACCGGUGAAGAUAAUGACGGUAACCGGAGAAGAAGCCCCGGCUAACUUCGUGCCAGCAGCCGCGGUAAUACGAAGGGGGCUAGCGUUGUUCGGAUUUACUGGGCGUAAAGCGCACGUAGGCGGACUAUUAAGUCAGGGGUGAAAUCCCGGGGCUCAACCCCGGAACUGCCUUUGAUACUGGUAGUCUUGAGUUCGAGAGAGGUGAGUGGAAUUCCGAGUGUAGAGGUGAAAUUCGUAGAUAUUCGGAGGAACACCAGUGGCGAAGGCGGCUCACUGGCUCGAUACUGACGCUGAGGUGCGAAAGCGUGGGGAGCAAACAGGAUUAGAAACCCGAGUAGUCCCAUGAU